Molecule: RNA transcript, 4907 nt
Organism: Pan troglodytes (chimpanzee)
Lineage: Eukaryota; Metazoa; Chordata; Mammalia; Primates; Hominidae
Gene: RPRD1B
Gene name: regulation of nuclear pre-mRNA domain containing 1B
Exons: 9
Source: RefSeq, marked provisional
AUGUCCUCCUUCUCUGAGUCGGCGCUGGAGAAGAAGCUCUCGGAGCUGAGCAACUCUCAGCAGAGCGUGCAGACCCUGUCCCUUUGGCUCAUCCACCACCGCAAGCACGCGGGACCCAUCGUCUCCGUGUGGCACCGCGAGCUCCGCAAAGCCAAAUCAAAUAGAAAGCUUACUUUUCUGUAUUUAGCGAAUGAUGUCAUCCAAAACAGUAAAAGGAAAGGACCUGAAUUCACUAGAGAAUUUGAAUCUGUCCUUGUGGAUGCUUUUUCUCAUGUUGCCAGAGAGGCAGAUGAAGGCUGUAAAAAACCUUUAGAAAGAUUGCUGAACAUCUGGCAAGAACGAAGUGUGUAUGGCGGCGAGUUCAUACAGCAGCUGAAGCUGUCUAUGGAGGACUCCAAGAGCCCUCCCCCCAAAGCAACAGAAGAGAAGAAAUCUCUGAAACGAACUUUUCAGCAAAUUCAAGAGGAGGAGGAUGACGACUACCCUGGCAGCUACUCUCCUCAGGAUCCUUCUGCAGGACCCCUCUUGACUGAGGAACUAAUCAAAGCUUUGCAGGAUCUGGAAAAUGCCGCAUCAGGGGAUGCUACUGUCCGACAGAAAAUUGCUUCUCUGCCCCAGGAAGUGCAAGAUGUUUCUCUAUUGGAAAAAAUAACAGACAAAGAGGCAGCUGAACGUCUUUCAAAAACAGUAGAUGAAGCAUGUCUGUUACUAGCAGAAUAUAACGGGCGCCUGGCAGCAGAACUGGAGGACCGUCGCCAGCUGGCUCGGAUGUUGGUGGAGUAUACCCAGAAUCAGAAAGAUGUUUUGUCGGAGAAGGAGAAAAAACUAGAGAUAUGGCUCAUUCAUUCGGCACAUGUGCUGGGUGCCUACUGUUUGCUGGACACUGCGGAGCCUGGUGGAUGCUGGGGGAAGCAGAUGGGUCUGGUCCUGGCCUCCAGGAGCUUACUAGUUAAAUGUGGGAGUCAUUGCUAAUCAUUUACACUGCGUGAGGAGCUCUCAUUGCGGGUAGGAGACUGAUUGCCUGCAGUAAUGGGGAGAGGAUAUGCCUGGUUCCCUCCUCUCACUCCUUGCUUGGACUUUUGUCUUUACAACUUGAACUAAGUAUUCUCCAUUUGACCUUUUUCCUGCCUCAUUAUUCUUCCCAGACAUUCUUUAGCUUCUACUUUCUGCCUCUUCAGGUGUGCAUCAGGGAUCUGGUAUCAAGGAAUUUAGAACUUGAAAAGAAGUGUUAUGGUCCAGUUCCCUCACUUUCAGAUAUGAAAGAAGGGAACACAUCCACGGUCACACAGCAGGUUAGAGGCAGAACCAGGACCAAGCCUAGGUCUCUGCAUCUCAGCCCAGGGCUUCUUGUUAACAUUCCUGCAGGAAGGGCUUUCUAAGUCAGCAGGGGCCCAGCCUCAGGGACCUACUUACCCUUGCAGAGACACUGAGAGGACAAAAACUAAGCCCCAGGGGGGCCAACAGCCCCAGACUUCACAUGGCCUAGGGUUGUUUUCUAUAUAUCUUGGCAGAUUUAUCAAGAGUACCUUUUUCCGGGAGCUGAGGAAAGAAAAAAAAUAUGCCCCAUUCCUAUCAUUAGGGGAUUCAUAUUCUAGAGGAACAUAGAAGUCUCACAUGUAUGGAGAGAGCAUAGAGCAGCUUGCUAGGGGCUCAGGUACACACCCUGUGUGAGGGAGAGCUCUGGAGCAGGAGGAGAUGGGGAGUCGUCUCCUGGAUGCAGAGCAAGGAUUUUCCUAGAGAGGUGGAGUCCAGAUAGUCCAAGGAGCAGAGGAGUGGAGGCCAGGCUUUGCUAGGGCUAGGAGAAGAGAGAGACCCCCUCCAGGCUUGUGGGGAAUCCUGAAAAAAUGGUCCACACAGACAAAGAGGGUUAGGAGGUUGUGAGAAACACACCUUGGCAGGGGCUGAUUUUGCAAGACCUUGAACUCUGCUCUGAAGGACCAGAUCAUGGAGCUAGUGGGGUGCCGUGCCUCACUUUCUCAAGGGAGUGGUUUCAUGCAAGCUGGGCUUUUGGGAGAGAAGUCUGGUGGCAUUUUAGGAGCCCUAGGGGUCAGGAGGCCUAACCAGGGACUUACUGCAGUGACUCAGUCAUGGAAUGAGGAGGCCCUGGUCACAGGGAGUAGCAGUGGGGUAUUUUGAGCUUCUAUAGUGCUUGUUUGCAAAACAUGAUAAAUUUGGGUUAAUCUCCAAGCUUUAACAUAGGAAGUAUAACUUCAGUGUUUUUUUUCUUGCCAUAUCUAGGUGGAGUCCGCAAAGAAAUUGUGACGCUCAGGAAUACAAACAGAAGCUUGCACGAGUAACCCAGGUCCGCAAGGAACUGAAAUCCCAUAUUCAGAGCUUGCCAGACCUCUCACUGCUGCCCAACGUCACAGGGGGCUUAGCCCCCCUGCCCUCUGCUGGGGACCUGUUUUCAACUGACUAGGAUGGGUGUCAUGUCCCAGAUUUCUGUUUGUACCAGCAGAAAGAAGAGGGCAAGUCAUGGUUGGAAAUAACCUUCUAGCCCCUGGUUCUAUCCCUUCUUCCGCCCAGCCCCCCAGCCUCAAGAAAGAACCUCAGACUCUGAUUCUUCUCUUCAGCCUCUCAUCUUGAGCACAGUUCAGAACAGUGGCGACUGGAAUUUGGUUUAUAUUCAUAUUUGCAAAGACUACAGACUUUUUCUCCCACUUCAUAUUUUCAUGCCCCCCUGUUGGUUUUCCAUUCUUAACUGUCUCCUUAUACCUAAGAAGUUAUGAAAAUCAUGUGUACUUCUGGAAGCUUUCAAAAGAAUCUUGUCCCUCAUGACAGCAUUUUAUCAUGAAAGCAGCUUCUCCUUUCUGAGCUGGGCUUGUUCAAGUUCGGUGUGGGCUUCCACUAAGGCACUUGUCCUGGAGACGUUGGCUUUCCCAGCUGCAUCUGCCCCAAAAGGUUGUAGGCACAGCUGUCGUAGCGUUGCCAUAAAGAGUUUGCCAAAUCUCUGAUCCUCCCUUUCCAUUGCUUCUCCUAGUGAUGCACGAAGAUUAGGUGCAUUUAUUUUGUAAACAGAUUGGAGAAUCUAGCAAUAAGAUUCAAAGCUAAUCUGGAGCAUAAAGGCACAGUUCAGAGACAGAAUAACAGGGAUCACAAGCAUGAAUUAAAAGUAAUUUAUUUGCUUGAAGUUCCUAGAUACAACCUUCCCAUGCUGCACUUCUCCACUGUCGGAGCACGUUCCGAAAAACAGAAUGCCUUGAUCCCUGGUGGGUGCGAAGGCAGUUGUUAGGGAUGGCAGGCAUUGGUGGGCUCCAAAAGAUGAAGGCCCCACACACAGGUGUGCUGCAUUUGGGAUCUGUGGGGGUGUUUCUUGGACCCUUUCUUCUGGGAGUAGGGUACACACUAACGUUUAAUCUGCUGUCUGGGUGCAUGUCCACAGUACGGUGGCUAAACUCGAACAUCACUGCAAAUAGGAUGCUGAGCAGGUCCGUCUGUCAUGUCACGCCACUGCACAGGUCCUUGUCCCCACACGACGGGGAGUACUUGCGUCAGAUGUUAUUGAAUAGCUCGUCUCGGGCAGGGGAAGUGGGGAGUUGGGGAUAUUAAUUGGGGGUUUUAAUUCUAUUAUCAUGUCAGCUGACAUUAUGACUAUAUAAUGUAGUUAGAGACAAUUUUUAUCUUGCUUAUAGUAAAGGUUCAGCCUGCCAAUUGUAAAUCAUUCUAAUUUGGCAGGCUUAUUUUUGACAUUGGAAAGGGCAGAAAGCGAUUUGCCCCAGUAGUGUAAUAGGAGUUAUAGACCAGAGGCUGAAACCCAAACUAUAUAAAAAGGAAUUCAGUGGAGGGGGCUUUGUAAUCUCCAUUAAUUUGUGUUGCUAUUUCCAGGAUCACCAAAAAUUACAUAUAAUUUUACAUGUUAAACACAUUGAAACAUAACCUAUGUUUAUAAAGCAUAACGGGCUUCCCUUCCAGAAGCUCUCCUGCUUGUCAUGAAGUGAGAACAAUGAAAAGUCGUAGCAGAUACUCAGUUUAACUCUGUGUAGAACCUAGUAGUGUUUGAGCUGUUAUUCAGAUUUGAAUUCAGACUGUGUGUUGUUUGCUUAUGGACACUGCCUGUCGUUCUGUCACUGUUAAAUUAAUGAGUCUAUAAGGUUUUUCUUCCAGAGGCCAUAGGUGACAUCACUAAAAUUGCAAGAUAAAUUGUAAUCUUUGCUGCUGCUGCACUCUCCAACCUCUCCCCCACCCCCCGUGGUGUGCUGCUUUCUAGAUGAGCGUGUUUUGGAGCAGGCCCAUCUGGGACACUCUAUGCUUUCACCAAGGAAGUGCGAUCUGAGCAGCCACAAUCCAGCCAAAAGAGGAUCGUAGAUAUUUGCUCUGAUCAACUAGAUGAAAAUAUAGCAGAAUGGAUUUAGCCCACUGCUCUGUUUUAUCCAACUGAGUCUCUGACCAGCAAUUGGUGCAUAAUUAUUACAGCAAAAGUUAAGAAAUGAAACUGUAGCAAUUAUGUAAAUGAAUGUGUUGGCCUCUUAAUACCUGUUACUAGUGGACUUCCUGUGAGGAAGUUAGUUUUUUGUUUUGAUGAAAUGCUUUCGUUUUUUAAAUCUUAAUUCUGCUGUCCACAUCCUCCCAAAGUGUGCUUACUUCAUUUGUUUAAUUUAAAUGAACUUUCCUCCUUGUAUGUAUGAGGUGACUUGGUGGGUGGGGUGGGUGGUUUUGUUUUUGUGUUUUUUCUUUCUUAGGGCAUCUGUAGGCCUCAAAGGACCUUUCCUUUAGGUCAUAUUCCUCAGAAAGUCUUCAAUCUUCCCUUGUUUUUGUUUGUUUGUUUUUCUUAAAGAAUAUUUUCAAAGCUUAAAUUUGUAUAUUAAUUUAGGACUAUUUAGAAGUAUAGGCUGUCGUUGGCGGCAGCAGUAUAUUCUGAAAUGUCUCAUAGAUAUAUAUUUUUGAAUAAAGAUGGUGUUGUUGAACAA